CCUACGGGUGGCAGCAGUGGGGGAUAUUGCACAAUGGGGGAAACCCUGAUGCAGCGAUGCCGUGUGAAUGAAGGCGGCCUUCGGGGUGUAAAGCUCUGUCGCAGGGGAAGAAAAUGACGGUACCCUGCAAAGAAGCCCCGGCUAACUACGUGCCAGCAGCCGCGGUAAUACGUAGGGAGCAAGCGUUGUCCGGAAUUACUGGGUGUAAAGGGAGCGCAGGCGGGAGGGUAAGCUGAAGGUGAAAUCUAGGGGCCAACCCCGUGGCUGCUUUUAAAACUGUUCGUCUGGAGUGAAGGAGAGGCAGGCGGAAUUCCUAGUGUAGCGGUGAAAUGCGUAGAUAUUAGGCGGAACACCGGUGGCGAAGGCGGCCUGCUGGGCUUUUACUGACGUUGAGGCUCGAAGGCGUGGGUAGCAAACAGGAUUAGAUACCCCUGUAGUC
RNAcentral lists this ribosomal RNA (439 nucleotides) under uncultured bacterium. RNAcentral's name for it is "partial 16S ribosomal RNA". It matches the Rfam family "Bacterial small subunit ribosomal RNA", at positions 338 to 795 of the family's 1533-position model. The record is from RNAcentral.